Molecule: ribosomal RNA, 253 nt
Filed under: uncultured bacterium
Lineage: Bacteria
Description: partial 16S ribosomal RNA
Rfam family: Bacterial small subunit ribosomal RNA
Source: RNAcentral
UACAGAGGUGCCGAGCGUUAGGCGGAAUCACUGGGCUUAAAGCGUGUGUAGGCGGAUGCCUAAGUACCUUGUGAAAUCCCACAGCUCAACCGUGGAACUGCUUGGUAUACUGGGUGUCUUGAGCCAUCUAGGGGCUACCGGAACAAAUGGUGGAGCGGUGAAAUGCGUAGAUAUCAUUUGGAACGCCAAUGGUGAAAACAGGUAGCUGGGGAUGUGCUGACGCUGAGACACGAAAGCCAGGGGAGCAAACGGG